UCAAAACCGCAGCCUCGACCACUGAAUGAUGUCUGGACCUAACAGAUUCUUUCUGAAAGCGCAAGUAGAAGAAAAGCAGACAGCCAAGCCAAGCACAAGGCAGACCCCAGUUUAAGGAAGAAGGGGAAGAGCUCCCCCCCCCUUUUACACUGCCCAGUCGUGUGCCCAGGCUCCAGUACGUCGCACCCAGCCGCGGCUGCCUGACGGGCAGUGAGAUGAAUGGGAAGGGAGAGUUGUUUCCAACACCUAGCGGUGAGAGGGUUGCUCCAGGCUGCAGCUCGCAUUAUUACAGCGCUGCCUUGCUGCACUGCAGAGGCGCCAUCUUCUUGCUCUUAAUCUUCCCCGCCAACCCAUUUCCUUUCCAUCGGCUCCCUAAACGCCCAUCCUAAGAGGAGUCCACCCCCCUCCUUGUAACGCGUGGAGGUGCCUCUGAAAAACACGCGCGGCCAAGGCGAUUUCCUCCCGCAAGACGGCGGGAGGGGGGAGAGAGAAGUCACCCCCCAGGACACCCACACCCACCCCUCUCUCUCUCGCAUCCAAACAAAGUCUGCAAGGCGCUCUCGGAUCAAUGAGACGGGGGAGAGUGGAAGGUGCUCGCUCCCAGAAGCAGGUCGUGCCAGCUGUGGGAACAGACGGGGCGGGGAGGCUGUCUUCUGCUUUCUUUUUUAGGAAGCGGGGGGCUCCCUUGUGCAAACGGGGCGGCUGUUCCGCAGGAGCCGCCGUCCGCUCUCAAGUUACUCAGAGGCACCUGAUCCAAAAACUUGACCCCCCCCCUUCUCCCCUAUGGACGGCUGGGUAGACGGAUGGCCCUUAACCGCCUGCCUGCCGUUUGUUUUCCGCACUGGAGCGCAGAGAAAGAAGAGGAGGAGGAGGAAGAAAAACGAGGCUUGUCUACCAGGAGAGGCGGGAAAGCAGCGGGAUGCCUGCCGUCUCCUCUCCCGAUCUUCCCCGCGGAAGGCAACAAAAGCCACGCAGCGGCCAGGCGACGCGAUCGCGGCUCUGCCAAAGCCAAACACUCGGCAGGCGGAUCGCCAAGACGGCGCACCUCGAGGGAGGGAGGGAGGGGCGGCGGCGCCCUCCUCCUCCUCCCAGCUUCCCGGAGACUGUCGCUCGCGAAAUUCAGCACCGAGGAGGCGCACGACCCGGGCACCCCCCUCCCUCCAAGAAGGCUCCUAGUCGGCGCGUCCCACCUCCCCGCCCCACCUCUCGGCGGAGCCCAUUGUUCAGGCGGGGAGAGGAGAAAGACCCCCGUCCAGGCGGGGGGCCGGGGACGCCCCCUCCCAUGGAGCCCAUAUCCCGGAGGGCAGCAGCAGCAGCAACAACCGGGAGGGCAGCCCCACCCCGCGCCCCUUCAUUAUGCCGUGUCUCCCACCCCACCCCCCCGGCGCCCGCCUUACCUCCAAAGCGUCGGCGAGCCACGAGGCCGCGAGCAGCAGCCCGGCUAAAUGCGGCAGCAUCGCGGUUGGCGGAGAAGGAGCGGAAGCUCCCGCUGGAGAAGGGAGAGCGGCGAAAUCCAGCCGGCGGCUCGGCUUCCUCGUCCCCGCCUCUGCGCUGCUGAGGAAUGGAAGGGAGCUGCAGCAGCGGCACCAGCCGAGCUCCGCCGAGGAAAAGGCGAGUCAGCUGAUGAUAUCCCAGCCCACCCAAAGCAGCGGCGGCGGCGGCAGCAGCAAGGCCGGCCCUCCGCAGAGACCCCUAGCGGAAGCGCCGCGCAACUACAACCGCCCUCCGCGCACGCACACAAACACACGCGCGCGCACCCCCGAGGCGCCUGCGAUAAUAAUGGGAGGAAGGAAGGAAGCCGAAGGAGGGGGCGCAGGAGCCCCGGUGGCCGUCUGAUGGCUGUCUGGGUGGGGCGGGAACGCCGAUAGGGCCGUUUCAUCCCUCGCUCUUCCUUGGUUAUUUUUUUUAAAACUAUUUUUAGAAGCCACGCCGCUUGUCUGUCGAUUCGCGUCCAGACCUGGCGUCUCUCCUGCCUUUUGCAGGUUACCAUGUGGUCUGUUUUCUUGUUGGACUUGGGGGGAGUAAGAUGCGGUUGAGGUAUGGUUACUGGCAAGCGCGGUAUAAAUCUUGGGAAAUAAAAAAAGGAAAUAAUGUAA
Non-coding RNA from Podarcis muralis (Common wall lizard), 2096 nucleotides. The record is from RefSeq and is a predicted model, not a curated record. NCBI's taxonomy places the organism in Eukaryota, Metazoa, Chordata, Lepidosauria, Squamata, Lacertidae.